This 960-nucleotide unclassified non-coding RNA is filed under the name Hevea brasiliensis (rubber tree). Lineage: Eukaryota; Viridiplantae; Streptophyta; Magnoliopsida; Malpighiales; Euphorbiaceae. The record is from RNAcentral.
UUGACAACAUAUUACAAGCACUACAAGUAAACUAUACAUUUGAAGGGAAUAUAUGCGUCAACAGUUAAUCAGAUAAUAUGUACUACAUAGAUUCAUUUCUUAGCAAGCAGUUUUUUUGGCAGCUUAUCCAAAGGAGUAGUUUUUAGAAGAAAAAGCCGGGCAGCACGCUCUGAAAAAGUGCCCCCACACUUGAGCCCACGUGCUUGUAGUUCAUUCUUCAGCCUUUCCAUGCCGAGAACCUCCAUCUCUGCUGCUGAAUUGAAGUCAUCAAAAUUCAGUGGCUUCUCCAAAUCAGUGUCCCUAACAUUUACUGCAACAGUUUCUCCAUUAGAUGCAGAUUUGAAGUCAGAGACGGCUUCAACAGUAACUGGCCUGCUUUCAAUACCAUCCCCACUUGCUGGAGUUGUAACAUAGGGCUGAGAGUCAGAUUCAACAUUAUCCAGCUUUUUAUCCUUAACUGCAUCAAUUCCAGAACUCUCAGCAGUCCCCAAGCAAGUUACACCACAACUCUGUAGUACUGCUUCCUCAUGAAUCUCUGGUUCAGCCAAUCCAUCGUUUUCACUGGGAACAUUUUCUUCUUGAGGGAUAGAUUUCAAAUUUUGCUCCACAGUAGCAUCUUUUUCUCCCUCAGAACCACUCUCACAUAAGACACCACCAGAGAAUUCUCCAUCUUGCUUACCACCAGUAACUGACUCUGAACCCCCUUCAGCUUCGUUAUUCCAAUUUGAAUGAUUUUCAUUAUUUAGAACAAUAGAUUUCUCAUUUUCCUCAUCACUGCUAUCCUCAUCCGUAUCUUCACUGUCACUUUCACCCAAUUUUCUCUUCCCCAUCCAAAUCUUCAACCUAUUGGCCUCCAAUCCCUCAUUUGGCAUCUUCCGCUUCCGCUUUCCGUUCCCAUUCCCACACGCCUCUCUAACGGCCUCCUCAACCGCCGCUGCACACUUGGCGGAUUCUUUCCUA